Molecule: ribosomal RNA, 253 nt
Filed under: uncultured bacterium
Lineage: Bacteria
Description: partial 16S ribosomal RNA
Rfam family: Bacterial small subunit ribosomal RNA
Source: RNAcentral
UACGAAGGGUGCAAGCGUUACUCGGAAUUACUGGGCGUAAAGCGUGCGUAGGUGGUUUGUUAAGUCUGAUGUGAAAGCCCUGGGCUCAACCUGGGAACUGCAUUGGAAACUGGCUUACUAGAGCGCGGUAGAGGGGUGCGGAAUUCCCGGUGUAGCAGUGAAAUGCGUAGAUAUCGGGAGGAACAUCCGUGGCGAAGGCGGCACCCUGGACCAGCACUGACACUGAGGCACGAAAGCGUGGGGAGCAAACAGG